RNAcentral lists this ribosomal RNA (543 nucleotides) under uncultured Burkholderia sp. Its description in RNAcentral is "bacterial SSU rRNA". It matches the Rfam family "Bacterial small subunit ribosomal RNA", at positions 228 to 763 of the family's 1533-position model. Lineage: Bacteria; Pseudomonadati; Pseudomonadota; Betaproteobacteria; Burkholderiales; Burkholderiaceae. The record is from RNAcentral.
GGCCGAUGGCAGAUUAGCUAGUUGGUGGGGUAAAGGCCUACCAAGGCGACGAUCUGUAGCUGGUCUGAGAGGACGACCAGCCACACUGGGACUGAGACACGGCCCAGACUCCUACGGGAGGCAGCAGUGGGGAAUUUUGGACAAUGGGCGCAAGCCUGAUCCAGCAAUGCCGCGUGUGUGAAGAAGGCCUUCGGGUUGUAAAGCACUUUUGUCCGGAAAGAAAACCGCCUGGCUAAUAUCCGGGCGGGAUGACGGUACCGGAAGAAUAAGCACCGGCUAACUACGUGCCAGCAGCCGCGGUAGUACGUAGGGUGCAAGCGUUAAUCGGAAUUACUGGGCGUAAAGCGUGCGCAGGCGGUCCGCUAAGACAGAUGUGAAAUCCCCGGGCUUAACCUGGGAACUGCAUUUGUGACUGGCGGGCUAGAGUAUGGCAGAGGGGGGUAGAAUUCCACGUGUAGCAGUGAAAUGCGUAGAGAUGUGGAGGAAUACCGAUGGCGAAGGCAGCCCCCUGGGCCAAUACUGACGCUCAUGCACGAAAGCGUG